Molecule: long non-coding RNA, 360 nt
Filed under: Marmota monax (woodchuck)
Lineage: Eukaryota; Metazoa; Chordata; Mammalia; Rodentia; Sciuridae
Source: RNAcentral
GUUAGCUCCCUUUCCACUGAUAUUUAAUUUUUGUGUUCUUGCUUUUUUCUUGAUUAGACUUGAUUUUUAUCAGCUGUUAGCUGUAUUAUUUCUCCUCUCUGUCUCCUAUUUCUGCCUAAUUGGAAAAUAAUCUGAUUGUGAAUCUAGCUUCUUUCUGAUAAAAGUACUUUAAGUUAUAAAUGUUCAUCUGAGUACUGUUUCAUCCCAAAUUCUGAUAUUUUAAGCUUUUGAUUGUCACUUAGUUCAAAGCACUUUUUAUUUACUUUUCUUGUGCUUUCUUCCUCGACCCAUGAGAUAGUUAUGUGUGUGCCAUUUAAUUUUGAAAUGGUUGACAUGUGGAGGUGGGGUUCUAUAUACCAU